Chelonoidis abingdonii (Abingdon island giant tortoise) is the source of this 98-nucleotide non-coding RNA. Lineage: Eukaryota; Metazoa; Chordata; Testudines; Testudinidae. The record is from RefSeq and is a predicted model, not a curated record.
UGUUAGUCUAUAAGGUGCCACAGGACUCUUUGUUGCUUUUUACAGAUCCAGACUAUCAAGGCUAUCCCUCUGAUAAUUAUUAACUCAGUCAGUAAUAA